This 124-nucleotide ribosomal RNA is filed under the name Mustela putorius furo (domestic ferret). Lineage: Eukaryota; Metazoa; Chordata; Mammalia; Carnivora; Mustelidae. The record is from RNAcentral.
UUGGUCUACCAUACCACCAUGAAUGCUCCAGAUCUUGUCUGAUGUUGGAGGCUGAGCAUGGUUGGGCCUGGUUAAUACUUGGAUGGGAGGUAUAUAACACUGCAUACAUUUAAGGUGUAUCAAA